GGCCGAUGGGUCGGGAAUACAACAUGACACCCUGUCACGGUGGAGAUCAGGGGUUCAAAUCCCCUCGGGGUCGCCA
Molecule: transfer RNA, 76 nt
Filed under: Dehalococcoidia bacterium
Lineage: Bacteria; Bacillati; Chloroflexota; Dehalococcoidia
Also listed under: 1 other name
Description: tRNA-Asp
Source: RNAcentral